Molecule: ribosomal RNA, 433 nt
Filed under: uncultured bacterium
Lineage: Bacteria
Description: partial 16S ribosomal RNA
Rfam family: Bacterial small subunit ribosomal RNA
Source: RNAcentral
AGCGAACGCUGGCGGCAGGCCUAACACAUGCAAGUCGAACGAAUUCUUCGGAGUUAGUGGCGGACGGGUGAGUAACACGUGGGAACGUGCCUUUUGGUUCGGAAUAACUCAGGGAAACUUGUGCUAAUACCGAAUGCGCCCUUCGGGGGAAAGAUUUAUCGCCAUUAGAGCGGCCCGCGUCUGAUUAGCUAGUUGGUGAGGUAACGGCUCACCAAGGCGACGAUCAGUAGCUGGUCUGAGAGGAUGACCAGCCACACUGGGACUGAGACACGGCCCAGACUCCUACGGGAGGCAGCAGUGGGGAAUCUUGCGCAAUGGGCGAAAGCCUGACGCAGCCAUGCCGCGUGAAUGAUGAAGGUCUUAGGAUUGUAAAAUUCUUUCACCGGGGACGAUAAUGACGGUACCCGGAGAAGAAGCCCCGGCUAACUUCGUG